UUACUUGUUAGCCAAUUAUUUGAAACUGCAAAACAUGAGGCGUUACAAAUAAGUGGUAAAUUUCAUUGUAAUUUUCUUUUACCAUAUGUCACUAUUUUGCAACUAUAUGCCUUUAGAUAGUUACGCUUUGGUCGCACAAUUUGGCUCUAAGGUCCAAAUUUUUUUUAAUAUAGCGCUCAUUUUCUAGGGAAUAGAUUUUCGAUACCCAAAUCCUCUUUCUUCCUUUUAGACCUUUAUGUUCUAUCAUUUUUUUCUUUUCUUCACACUCUGAUCUCAGAAUUUUCUCUUCACCGAAUUUUGAUUGUCUUCACACUCCAGUUUGCUAAAUUCUUUAGAUAAUCACACUUCAUACUCAGAAUUAUGUAUAACAUGAAAAGGUUGGUGUUUGGUGACAGUUGAUCUUUGGUCUGAGAUAAUUAGAUCGGAGGAAGAAGACGGAGAUGGGUUCAGAGAAGUACCUCAGGUCGAGGUUUAUCAGAGAAGGAAGAAGCUUGAGAAGCCUUCCGCAGCCGAAAAUUUAGUGUGGUCGGUGAAAGGGGCUCGAACUAGUGUUAUCAAUGGACCCAAGAGAGAUAGCUGGACUCGUUCCUUUCCACCAGAGGGAGGGAGAGUAUAGCAGCGGGAGCUUAUGUCAACAAUCAGCCUCAGAAGAAGCCUGCACCACUCGGUAAUGGGUUCUCUCCUUUUCUCCUUCAUAUUGUAGAUUUGGGUUCUUCUAAUUCUAGAUGUUUAAUAAAAUAAAAUUGUGUGGUCUCUUUGAUUUGUGGAUUUGUACGAAGGUAAUGUCGUUCCUUCAGUCGGUGGAGUCUGGUGUUAUUUGAGCUUGUAAGUGUCAAAUGGUGAGCACUCACUUUAUCUUAGCUCCUUGCCUGCGAUCCAUUUGAUUAUUAGGUCUUUCCUUUCCCAUCCAAUGAUGCCCGGUCUAGUUCCAGAGAAGAAUACCUGUAAACACACAUAUCCAGUUCAUAUUUGCAAAAGUGAGUCAUGGUUUUGUCUUCAACCCUUCAUUUUGGUUUGGUCUUGAUGGUUCCGGUUCGAAACUGGAACGAAAGAUUUUAAAGUCGACUUCUUCUGCAUUUAUAGGAAUUUAAAAUAUUUCAAUUGUUGUAUUUCUAACUUUUGACUUUCAGAUUAAGUUCGAAGUUAAUAUAUAAAUUCUGAUUCCAAAACGAAUAUUAUAAUAAAUUUUUAUUUCUAAAUGAA
This is a long non-coding RNA of Brassica napus (rape), 1203 nucleotides long. RefSeq lists it as uncharacterized. The record is from RefSeq and is a predicted model, not a curated record. NCBI's taxonomy places the organism in Eukaryota, Viridiplantae, Streptophyta, Magnoliopsida, Brassicales, Brassicaceae. The transcript has 4 exons.